RNAcentral lists this long non-coding RNA (422 nucleotides) under Vitis vinifera (wine grape). RNAcentral describes it as "long non-coding RNA (VVIN_LNC001219)". Lineage: Eukaryota; Viridiplantae; Streptophyta; Magnoliopsida; Vitales; Vitaceae. The record is from RNAcentral.
ACAAACUGCAGUCCACUCAAAUCUUCCACUGAUAAAAUUAAUGAAGCACUAUUAGUUCUUCUCUAGCAACAAAAAUUAGAGGCUAUCAUGGUGGAUUUCAAUAAAUAUCAUUAAACUCAAAAGUUUGGGUCUCGCCAAAAUAUAAGCAAUAGAAGAGAGGAAACAAUGAUCCAAACCAAUAGAAACAUAAUUUAAACUAUCACCAAUAACUUAUUGAAAUUUCAAGAUCGGAGUAAGAUUCACCGUUGGCUCUUACGUUCUUCAUCUAGAAAAAAAAACCCAUAAAACCUUGCUUUCUUUCCCCUUCUCUCUAUCUUUUUCUCUCAAAUAGAACGGUAAGGGGACCACAUCUAACAAUCUCCUCCUCUUGACUCACGUGGAAGAAGGCUUCCCUAUACCCACAACCUCUCUACAAACAAGAA